AUGUUCCAUCAAUUCUAUAUUGGGACGUUCGACGUGGCUCGUAUAAACUUUGGUGUCAUUACCUUGAUCCCCAAAGUAGUUGGGGCUACAGACAUUCAGCAAUUUAGACCUAUCAUGGUUAUCAACGUGCUUGAGCGCAUCUUCUCAAAAGUAUGCGCGACCCGACUAGCCCCCGUAGCAGAGCAGCUGGAUCAUCCUCUCCAAACGACAUUUCUAAAGGGCCCACGGAUUCAUGACGGAAUCCUGGCCCUGCACGAAAUCGUCCAUGAGGUUAGGGUGCGUGGUCAUAAGGUUGUAUUCCUCAAGUUGGACUUCCAGAAGGCAUACGAUCACCUGGAUUGGUCCUUCUUGAGGCUAGUCAUGCAGCGUCGGGGCUUUGAUGACCGUUGGUGCUCCUGGAUCAUGCAGCUAGUGCAAUCCAGUAACACGGCGAUCAACAUUAACGACGAGGUGGGACCAUUCUUGAAGUCCUCUGCAGGAGUAAUGUAG
RNAcentral lists this ribosomal RNA (489 nucleotides) under Triticum aestivum (bread wheat). RNAcentral's name for it is "partial small subunit ribosomal RNA". The record is from RNAcentral. Lineage: Eukaryota; Viridiplantae; Streptophyta; Magnoliopsida; Poales; Poaceae.